RNAcentral lists this ribosomal RNA (456 nucleotides) under uncultured bacterium. RNAcentral's name for it is "partial 16S ribosomal RNA". It matches the Rfam family "Bacterial small subunit ribosomal RNA", at positions 338 to 795 of the family's 1533-position model. The record is from RNAcentral.
CCUACGGGUGGCAGCAGUGGGGAAUAUUGCACAAUGGGGGAAACCCUGAUGCAGCGACGCCGCGUGAGUGAAGAAGUAUUUCGGUAUGUAAAGCUCUAUCAGCAGGGAAGAAAUAAAGUCCUUCGGACUUUGGACGGUACCUGACUAAGAAGCCCCGGCUAACUACGUGCCAGCAGCCGCGGUAAUACGUAGGGGCAAGCGUUAUCCGGAUUUACUGGGUGUAAAGGGAGCGUAGACGGCAGCGCAAGUCUGGAGUGAAAUCCCAUGGCUUAACCAUGGAACUGCUUUGGAAACUGUGCAGCUGGAGUGCAGGAGAGGUAAGCGGAAUUCCUAGUGUAGCGGUGAAAUGCGUAGAUAUUAGGAGGAACACCAGUGGCGAAGGCAGCUUGCUGCAGCUGAACUGACGCUGAUGCUCGAAAGCGCGGGUAUCGAACAGGAUUAGAUACCCUUGUAGUC